Dendrobium catenatum is the source of this 1317-nucleotide long non-coding RNA. RefSeq lists it as uncharacterized. The transcript has 3 exons. The record is from RefSeq and is a predicted model, not a curated record. NCBI's taxonomy places the organism in Eukaryota, Viridiplantae, Streptophyta, Magnoliopsida, Asparagales, Orchidaceae.
UAUUAAAUACGGGAUUGAGGGCAUGACUAAAUCUCACAGCAAGUUAAUUCCUCCAUUUCCUACUGUUUGUCGUGGUUUUGAGGGAUCUGGCCAAACAAGCACACAAAAGGAAGGGAGAUGGUUACCUCCACAGCAAGCAAGCUACAAUCGUUACUUCUGAUCUAACAGAGAAGAGAAGGGAACGUCGUUCGAGAAGGUUAGUUCGGCAUCGGCUUCUCCUUCCCUUUCUCUCUCUAUCUCUCUCUCUCUAUCUCUUUGUGUGAGUCGGAGAAACUGGGAGGUCGGGCAAGACUAGGGCUUAGUCCUAGAGCGGUUCGAAUAGAGUUGACUGCGGAGAUGAGUGUUGGGGUCGGAGAAAGCAGCUAAGAUCGGCGUGGAUUCGGCUGGACUGGCGUUGAAUUAAGAGGUCGACGGGGACUUGAGUUCUAACGGCUAUGGCUGGAUCGGGUAGAAUAGAGGUUCAGAGGUUUUGGAGUCGGUUAAGGAGGAUGGGAAGCUCGGGAAGAUCGGAAGCUUGUAGGGCUUUUGCGUGUGGGAAGAAGACUCGAUCAGAUGGAGGAGGUUCGACUGUGGGAAAGAAUAGAACCGAAAGGCUUCAUUUGGUCAGCUUUUAACGAUGUUGAAGAGCAGCGAUCAAGGUGCUCUGAAUAGGGAUCCCGCGAGGAGACGCGAACGGCGCCGAAUGCGAUUCGGCGGGAUUUCAGGCAGAUAUCGCGAGGAUUCGGUGGAUGUGAGCAGGUUGGUCGAGUACUUCCUCCUACUAAAUAGAUUACGGAUCAUGAUGGCCCGAGACGACAGAACCAUGGGAUCUUGAUCAGAGUAUCAGAAACAGAAGAUUUUCUUGAGCAAUGGAUUGUCUGAAGCACUGGCCAGAUAACAAGAAUAAACAGAGAAGAUGGAUUAACCAAGCCAAUCUCAAAUAACUGGGACUAGGUUGUUGCUACUGAUGAUGAUUAUUAUGAUGAUGCCAAGUAACAAAAAUGAAAGCAUACAAAUCAUGUGAGGAAAAAGGAUGGAGCAGAAUAAAGAAUGUUCUUUUGAAAAUUCAGAACAUAUUCAGAUUAAACACCUGGGAGAUUACCUCCUUUUCUGCAAGAACAUAACCCUUUCAUGCGCUUAAGAAGAAAGCAAGAAAUUGAGUACCUGGUAAACGCUCUCGUUUCUCCUUAGCUUUAUACGCUUCUUGUCAUCAGUUUUGGUCGAGAUAAGAUAGCCAUUAUCAGUUAACAAACGAUAUUCCUGGCGGAGCUCCACCAGAGCAAUAUGUUUACCCGAAAUAGCAUAUAAAAUGGUUCCAUCUGUUCAUGAAAGUUUGAU